UCUCUGUUAGUAUAUCGGUUAGUACACGCGCCUGUCAUUACCCUGGCCGCGCGAAAGCGGGGUUCGACUCCCCGACAGAGAG
RNAcentral lists this transfer RNA (82 nucleotides) under Ganoderma leucocontextum. RNAcentral describes it as "tRNA-Asp". The record is from RNAcentral. Lineage: Eukaryota; Fungi; Basidiomycota; Agaricomycetes; Polyporales; Polyporaceae.